GCUGAGCCCAGUGCCAAGAUCUACGCGAAAGCGGUGCAGGAGGUCCUUUCAGAGAGAGCUCGUCUCCAGGCUGGAGGGCUUCCCACAGCAGCAGGUCCCAGCUCAGGGAGAAGACCUUCCCCUGCCAUGUGCCCCCGCUCUGUCUCCAAGUCCCCGGCUGGAGGCAAAUGCAAGGGCUUGGAAGCAGAGCAGCAAACAGCAGCGCAGCUGCCUGCUAACAAAAGAGUGAGGGCUCAGAGCAGAGGCAGCGUGCUGGCUCCAGCAGCACAGCCUGGGCCUGCUGCAGCAUGGAGCACCAAGCUGAGAUGUAAGAAGGUGCUGUGGUACCACCCUGUAGGGCAGUGCUGCCCUUAUCAAGCACACUGAAGUUGCAGAGGGUUUGCUUUGCUUUUUCCUUCUCUGCAGAGGGGAAAAAAGUUGAAGCCUACAAAGGCCCAAGGCAGUGAGGUGCCAUGUAACCCCGUCUCUUUCCGUUACCUCCAUGGUGGUCUUCUGCACCUUUCCACUGGAAAUGUCAUUCACUGAGAGGCUUCCAAUUUCCUUUAUCUUUUUCCCGACAUCUGUUUUUAUGGUACCUAUGUUUCUGCAGUUUUGCUGCAGACAAAAUGAAUUCAGUUUUAUUCUUGCUUUACAGCAAGAAGACAACGAAAAGCAAGAAGAGUGGAACUGAAGAAGGCUGCUCUGAGAGCUGCUGCUGCACGUGCAGAGUGCUCCGCAAUGAACAGCCUUGUGGAGAUGAUGCAGAAGCUGCAGCUGAAGGACUGAGAGGACGAGCAUCAGCAGGCAGCGAUGCAGCGCAGCGUUACAGGGCAGCGUUCCGAGUGCCGCCAACUCGGCACCACGAGUUUGGUUGUAGUCAAUAAAAAACAGCCACAAUUAGACAUCGACAAAGAGCGCAUGGCCUGAUUUGUCCUGUGGCAUUCCAUGAGCUGCUGUACUCCAACUGGUCCAGAGUAGAACCUAUGCAGCUUCGGAGCACCAAGCCGCCAUCCUGGCAUGGUUUUUGGAGGCAAUGCUCCAAGCUUUGGGCUGUAAUACCCCUGACAAUGAAAACACAACUUGCAUUUUAAUGCGACACUGCUGUGCUUUGUACCAAAUCAGUGCUCCUUGAGUCUCUGAGGUAGGACAGGGUGAAGGGGAGCGAUGUGAAGCUGUGUGCAGGAAAUCUGAGGGUGGGAGGGCACUGCCAAACCCAGCUGGUGCAUCUCUGUGCAGUUUUGCCUUCCCGGGAGGAACCCAGAUAUUCCCGGUAGUUUUCUGCUCCUGUACUGCAGUGUGAGCAUAAGGUUCUGCUGCCUCCUUCUGGAAGAUCCUCUGCAGCUAUGGACAUCUGAUACAGGCACCUGUCCUUUUCGGUUUGUUUUUGUUUUUUAAUCAGGACACAUUAUGCUUGUUGUAUUUUCUGCAGGUUACUUACCAAAGUCACCAUGAAAGGGUUUUGAUUUUCCUGCAGUCAGAUUUGCUCUCACGUAACAAGCUUCUGUAAAAGAGUCCAUCUGACUUUUGAAAUUAUUUUGUUGAGGUUCAAGACAUUCUAGUCUUAAUAGUCUUUAUAGCACCACCCUUCCCUCCUGCUUAUAAGUUCCUAUUUAAUUACUGGAAGGCCACAUCAGGUUUCCCCAGUGUUGUAUUAGGCGCUUGCGCCAUCUUCGGGUUGUAAUGCGUUAGGCCCUCCCCUUUCCAUAUAUAAGCACGUGUUAGUUUCAUUAAAGCGCCAUUUUGCUGUUCACCAUAUUGGUGUCACCUCGGUAAUUGGCCAAGCUGCGGUCUCCCAGGGAAAACGAACGGGUGAAGGUUACAACACCCCAGAGUAUUCUCUUCUCCAGACUGAACAAGCCCAGGUCUCACUGCUGGCUCUGGUGAAGUUUUUCGUCUACCAGGACGCUGAAGUCCUUCUCAGCAGGGCCGCCCUCCAUUAGUUCUUCUCCCAGCCUGCACAGAUAUCUGGGGUUGCCACGACCCAGGUGCAACACCCUACACUUGACCUUGUUGAAUCUCAUUAGGUUCACGUGCUCCCUCCCAGAUGAAGAUUUUGAAACAGCUUUGUGAAGAAAUGAAAGAACCUUGAGAGCAACAAGAGUUCUCUCAGGCUGGACGUUAGGAAAAACUCCUCCGAAAGAGUGGUUGGACCCUGGACAGACUGCCCAGGGAGGGACUGCAGUCAGAUUCCCUGGAGGCGUUCAGGAAAUGUUUAGGUGUGCAUAUGGGAACUGCUAAGUCAUGGCCUGAACCUCUGAGUGAUCACCUGAGGCGAGCCAUUAGUCAGCCAGAGGAGCACA
Molecule: long non-coding RNA, 2279 nt
Organism: Centrocercus urophasianus (Greater sage-grouse)
Lineage: Eukaryota; Metazoa; Chordata; Aves; Galliformes; Phasianidae
Exons: 3
Source: RefSeq, a predicted model, not a curated record